This 33-nucleotide transfer RNA is filed under the name Paratelmatobius cardosoi. Its description in RNAcentral is "partial tRNA-Val". Lineage: Eukaryota; Metazoa; Chordata; Amphibia; Anura; Leptodactylidae. The record is from RNAcentral.
GAAGAGACACCUGUGAAAAUCAAGUUAUUCCGA